This 245-nucleotide small RNA is filed under the name Arabidopsis thaliana (thale cress). RNAcentral describes it as "ATSL102520". Lineage: Eukaryota; Viridiplantae; Streptophyta; Magnoliopsida; Brassicales; Brassicaceae. The record is from RNAcentral.
AUACGUUAAUGCUAAUUUUAAGGGAUUCAUGUGAAGUUUGUUUGGAUUAAAUUUGAUUGAUAAUGUGAUUGACAAUUUAAAUUAAAAAUUUAAAGUAAAAUUAAUUAUUUUGGAAAAAAGAUUUAAUGCUAAUGGCAUUGGAUUGUAAAUAAGUCGAACUCUAGGAUUUAUUUGCUAAAAUGGCUGCAAAAAUGUAUAUCUACUAGAUUUUAACCCGCGGUAUACCGCGGGGCUAUAUCUUUUUA